AUGAUCUAUGUGCACCUCUGGUGUCUCGUCUUUGCAGCCACACAUAGGAAGAGAUCAUAUCACGAUGCACUUAAAUACCGUUGCCAAUUCUAUGGUGCCGUGUUUUGGUUCCAGGAGAGAUGCAAGGCUGAAUCCUCUGUGAUUGAGCGCCGUAUCCUAUACAGCUUGUGCUGUAAGGGUGACAGCAGGUCGGCUUCCUCUCGCCGCUCUGAACUGCAGGACUCGCUGGAUGGAUGUGAAUGUGAGCAACCAAACUAUCAGGUUAGAUUUUUGUGGCAAUAUCACUAUGAGGAAGCCGACAACCUGGAUUGCCAAUUACCUCCGCAGGGUGCCCCAUUUUUUGAUGUCAUGAUUAUCCGCGUUCGAGAACCGGUGGAUCAUUUUGUAACUUAUGCAGGUUAUGUGCACAUUGAGAGUUUCUUCUGCUCGAGGCAGCCGUCGUCCACAUGCUCCUCCUAA
Molecule: ribosomal RNA, 459 nt
Filed under: Triticum aestivum (bread wheat)
Lineage: Eukaryota; Viridiplantae; Streptophyta; Magnoliopsida; Poales; Poaceae
Description: partial small subunit ribosomal RNA
Source: RNAcentral